This 462-nucleotide ribosomal RNA is filed under the name uncultured bacterium. RNAcentral describes it as "partial 16S ribosomal RNA". It matches the Rfam family "Bacterial small subunit ribosomal RNA", at positions 338 to 795 of the family's 1533-position model. The record is from RNAcentral.
CCUACGGGAUGCAGCAGUGAGGAAUAUUGGUCAAUGGACGCAAGUCUGAACCAGCCAAGUAGCGUGCAGGAUGACGGCCCUCCGGGUUGUAAACUGCUUUUAGUUGGGAAUAAAAGGGGGCUCGUGAGCCCCGUAUUGUAUGUACUAUCAGAAAAAGGACCGGCUAAUUCCGUGCCAGCAGCCGCGGUAAUACGGAAGGUCCGGGCGUUCUCCGGAUUUAUUGGUUUUAAAGGGAGCGUAGGCCGGCUUUUAAGUCAGCUGUGAAAGUCCGCGGCUCAACCGUAAAAUUGCAAUUUAUACUGGCAGUCUUGAGUACAGUUGAGGUAGGCAGAAUUCGUGGUGUAGCGGUGAAAUGCUUAGAGAUCACGAAGAACUCCGAUUGCGAAGGCAGCUUACUAAACUGCCACUGACAUUGAUGCUCGAAAGUGUGGGUAUCAAACAGGAUUAGAUACCCCGGUAGUC